RNAcentral lists this ribosomal RNA (511 nucleotides) under uncultured bacterium. Its description in RNAcentral is "bacterial SSU rRNA". It matches the Rfam family "Bacterial small subunit ribosomal RNA", at positions 8 to 518 of the family's 1533-position model. The record is from RNAcentral.
AGAGUUGAUCAUGGCUCAGGACGAACGCUGGCGGCGUGCCUAACACAUGCAAGUCGAACGAAGCUCCAUGAAAUGAGAUUCGUCAAAUGGAUGGAUGACUUAGUGGCGGACGGGUGAGUAAUGCGUGAGCAACCUGCCCUUCGGAGGGGGACAACAGUUGGAAACGACUGCUAAUACCGCAUGACGUAUCGUGAAGGCAUCUUCGUGAUACCAAAGAUUUAUCGCCGAGGGAUGGGCUCACGUCUGAUUAGCUAGUUGGUGGGGCAACGGCCCACCAAGGCUGCGAUCAGUAGCCGGACUGAGAGGUUGAACGGCCACAUUGGGACUGAGAUACGGCCCAGACUCCUACGGGAGGCAGCAGUGGGGAAUAUUGGGCAAGUUACGGGGGGAAACCCUGACCCAGCAACGCCGCGUGAAGGAAGAAGGCUUUCGGGUUGUAAACUUCUUUAACAGGGAAGAUAAUGACGGUACCUGUUGAAUAAGCCACGGCUAACUACGUGCCAGCAGCGGC